GAUGAAGAACGUAGCGAAAUGCGAUAAGUAGUGUGAAUUGCAGAAUUCAGUGAAUCAUCGAAUCUUUGAACGCACAUUGCGCCCCUUGGUAUUCCAUGGGGCAUGCCUGUUCGAGCGUCAUUUGUACCUUCAAGCUCUGCUUGGUGUUGGGUGUUUGUCUCGCCUCUGCGUGUUGACUCGCCUCAAAACAAUUGGCAGCCGGCGUAUUGAUUUCGGAGCGCAGUACAUCUCGCGCUUUGCACUCAUAACGACGACGUCCAAAAGUACAUUUUUACACUCUUGACCUCGGAUCAGGUAGGGAUACCCGCUGAACUUAAGCAUAUCAAUAAGCGGAGGA
Molecule: unclassified non-coding RNA, 337 nt
Filed under: soil metagenome
Description: partial contains 5.8S ribosomal RNA, internal transcribed spacer 2, and large subunit ribosomal RNA
Rfam family: 5.8S ribosomal RNA (bases 1-120)
Source: RNAcentral